UUAAUCUUCGGAAGCGGACUGAUCUGACUGAGUGGCGGACGGGUGAGUAACGCGUGGGUAACCUGCCCUGUACAGGGGGACAACAGUUGGAAACGACUGCUAAUACCGCAUAAGCGCACAGCUUCGCAUGAAGCAGUGUGAAAAACUCCGGUGGUACAGGAUGGACCCGCGUCUGAUUAGAUAGUUGGUGAGGUAACGGCCCACCAAGUCAACGAUCAGUAGCCGGCCUGAGAGGGCGAACGGCCACAUUGGGACUGAGACACGGCCCAAACUCC
This 275-nucleotide ribosomal RNA is filed under the name uncultured Lachnospiraceae bacterium. RNAcentral describes it as "partial 16S ribosomal RNA". It matches the Rfam family "Bacterial small subunit ribosomal RNA", at positions 70 to 339 of the family's 1533-position model. Lineage: Bacteria; Bacillati; Bacillota; Clostridia; Lachnospirales; Lachnospiraceae. The record is from RNAcentral.